This 76-nucleotide transfer RNA is filed under the name Yarrowia sp. C11. Its description in RNAcentral is "tRNA-Gln". It matches the Rfam family "tRNA". Rfam says of the family: Transfer RNA (tRNA) molecules are approximately 80 nucleotides in length. RNAcentral also lists the same sequence under 1 other name. The record is from RNAcentral. Lineage: Eukaryota; Fungi; Ascomycota; Dipodascomycetes; Dipodascales.
GGUUGUGUAGUGUAGUGGUUAUCACUCCAGAUUUUGAUUAGUUCUGGGAACCCCGGUUCGAGCCCGGGCACGACCU